ACGGCUCAGUAACACGUGGAUAAUCUGCCCUCAGAAGAAGAAUAAUCCCGGGAAACUGGGGCUAAUACUUCAUAGGAGACGGGUGCUGGAAUGCUCUGUCUCUGAAAGGUCCGCCGUCUGAGGAUGAGUCUGCGUCCGAUUAGGUUGUUGUUGGGGUAACGGCCCAACAAGCCUUUGAUCGGUACGGGUUGUGGGAGCAAGAGCCCGGAGAUGGAUUCUGAGACAUGAAUCCAGGCCCUACGGGGCGCAGCAGGCGCGAAAACUUUACAAUGCGAGCAAUCGUGAUAAGGAAACCCUGAGUGCCUGUCAACGCAGGCUGUUCUGGUGUCUAACACACACCAGGAGAAAGGGCGGGGCAAGACCGGUGCCAGCCGCCGCGGUAAUACCGGCUGCUCGAGUGAUAGCCACUUUUACUGGGCUUAAAGCGUUCGUAGCUUGGUCGUUAAGUCUCUGGGGAAAUCUUUUGGCUCAACCAAAAGGCGUCUCAGGGAAACUGGCGACCUAGGAACCGGGAGAGGUAAGACGUACUUCGGGGGUAGGAGUGAAAUCUUGUAAUCCCCGAGGGACGACCGAUGGCGAAGGCAUCUUACCAGAACGGCUUCGACAGUGAGGGACGAAAGCUGGGGGAGCAAACCGGAUUAGAUACCCGGGUAGUCCCAGCCGUAAACGAUGUGCGUUAGGUGUGUCAGCGACCACGAGUCGCUGAGGUGCCGAAGGGAAACCGUGAAACGUACCGCCUGGGAAGUACGGUCGCAAGGCUGAAACUUAAAGGAAUUGGCGGGGGAGCACA
Molecule: ribosomal RNA, 790 nt
Filed under: methanogenic prokaryote enrichment culture J0704737_A19-49_M13F-47
Description: bacterial SSU rRNA
Rfam family: Archaeal small subunit ribosomal RNA
Source: RNAcentral